ACCUCGAACUCCCGGUCGUGUGUGUGUGUUUGUAUGGAACGUUGGCUGUGUGACAAUACUGUUCUGUAUAAUGACCGAUGUACUGCAGACGAGUAACUCAGAGUAUAUUCAAACUCUAUGUAACUAGUAUGCAUCGGUUGUGUACUGGAACAUAGUGUGUGGUCACACUCUGAACGUUUCUAACAAAUGUUGUUCCACUUAGAAUGAUUCAAACAAAGGUNGGGCGAAAGACUAAUCGAACCAUCUAGUUGCUGGUUCCUUCCGAAGUUUCCCUCAGGAUAGCUGGCAUUUGUUUGUAACAAUUUUAUCCGGUAGAGCGAAUGAUUAGAGGUGUUGGGAACGCAAUGUUCUCAGCCUAUUCUCAAACUUCGAAUGGGUAAGCAAGGCGUUUUGCUUUGAUUUUACGAUGAAAUCGCCCAAUUAGAAUGCAUAAAUGCCUAGUGGGCCAAUUUUGGUAAGCAGAACUGGCGAUGUGGAAUGAACCAAAAGUCAGGUUAAGGUGCCAGACAUUGGCGCUCAUGAAAUACCAGAAAAGGUGUUGGUCGAUAUAGACAGCAGGACGGUGGCCAUGGAAGUUGGAAUCCGCCAAGGAGUGUGUAACAACUCACCUGCCGAAUCGACUAGCCCUGAAAAUGGAUAGCGUUUGAGCGCCAGGCCCAUACCUGACCGUCUCAAUUACGCACUUUUUUCUUUUUUGAAAAAGGUGUAAUGAACGUUGAGACGGGUAGGAAGGUCGCGACAGUGUUGCUUUGAAGAGUUUUGAGCGUGAGCUCGCUCGGAGCCGCUGUUGGUGCAGAUCUUGGUGGUAGUAGCAAAUAUUCAAGUGAGAACCUUGAAGGCUGAAGUGGAGCAAGGUUCCAUGUGAACAGCAGUUGGACAUGGGUCAGUCGAUCCUAAGAAAACGGCGAAAGCUUGUUCGAAUUUGCGACAUGAAUUGUAAGACUGUGUGUGUUUAUUGUGUGUGCGUGUGCAGUUGUCGUAUGUUUUCGAAAGGGAAUCCGGUUGAUAUUCCGGAACCGAGUAACGGAGACAAAGAGUAGCGCUUUAAUCUCUCUGUGGGGUUGGCGUUCAACUCAAUCGCGCGGUAACGCAAGCGAACUCGGAAAAUGACCGUCGUGAGUUUCGAAAAGAGUUUUCUUUUCUUUUUAAGGGACGCAUUCCCUGGAACCGGGUUGUCCGGAGAUAGGGAUUCUGGUAUCCAUAAAACGCCGACUUUUUCACGGUGUUCGGAGCGCUCUCGUCGGUACGUGAAAAUCCGAGCGACGCCUGGUAAAUCUCGUACUUGGUCGUACUGAUAUCCGCAGCAGGUCUCCAAGGUGAAUAGCCUCUGGCC
This 1333-nucleotide non-coding RNA is filed under the name Trichinella sp. T9. RNAcentral describes it as "Eukaryotic large subunit ribosomal RNA". It matches the Rfam family "Eukaryotic large subunit ribosomal RNA", at positions 665 to 1888 of the family's 3401-position model. The record is from Rfam by way of RNAcentral. Lineage: Eukaryota; Metazoa; Nematoda; Enoplea; Trichinellida; Trichinellidae.